This 209-nucleotide microRNA precursor is filed under the name Oryza sativa Japonica Group (Japanese rice). Its description in RNAcentral is "MIR812 microRNA precursor family". It matches the Rfam family "MIR812 microRNA precursor family". The record is from Rfam by way of RNAcentral. Lineage: Eukaryota; Viridiplantae; Streptophyta; Magnoliopsida; Poales; Poaceae.
AAUAAGUGCAGUUUUGCACUAUUCAUGUUCAACGUUUGACCGUCCGUCUUAUUUGAAAAUUUUUUAUGAUUAGUAUUUUUAUUGCUAUUAGAUGAUAAAACAUGAAUAUUACUUUAUGUGUGACUAAAUGUUUUUAAUUUUUUCACAAAUUUUUCAAAUAAGACGGACGGUCAAACGUUGAACGUGAAUAGUGCAAAACUGCACUUAUU